RNAcentral lists this ribosomal RNA (301 nucleotides) under uncultured bacterium. RNAcentral describes it as "partial 16S ribosomal RNA". It matches the Rfam family "Bacterial small subunit ribosomal RNA", at positions 509 to 809 of the family's 1533-position model. The record is from RNAcentral.
CAGCCGCCGCGGUAAUACAGAGUGUGCGAGCGUUAAUCGGAUUUACUGGGCGUAAAGCGUGCGUAGGCGGCUUCUUAAGUCGGAUGUGAAAUCCCUGAGCUUAACUUAGGAAUUGCAUUCGAUACUGGGAAGCUAGAGUAUGGGAGAGGAUGGUAGAAUUCCAGGUGUAGCGGUGAAAUGCGUAGAGAUCUGGAGGAAUACCGAUGGCGAAGGCAGCCAUCUGGCCUAAUACUGACGCUGAGGUACGAAAGCAUGGGGAGCAAACAGGAUUAGAUACCCCUGUAGUCCUGUCUCUUAUACA